GAUGAACGCUGGCGGCGCGCCUAAUACAUGCAAGUCGAGCGAACGGACGAGAAGCUUGCUUCUCUGAUGUUAGCGGCGGACGGGUGAGUAACACGUGGAUAACCUACCUAUAAGACUGGGAUAACUUCGGGAAACCGGAGCUAAUACCGGAUAAUAUUUUGAACCGCAUGGUUCAAAAGUGAAAGACGGUCUUGCUGUCACUUAUAGAUGGAUCCGCGCUGCAUUAGCUAGUUGGUAAGGUAACGGCUUACCAAGGCAACGAUGCAUAGCCGACCUGAGAGGGUGAUCGGCCACACUGGAGCUGAGACACGGUCCAGACUCCUACGGGAGGCAGCAGUAGGGAAUCUUCCGCAAUGGGCGAAAGCCUGACGGAGCAACGCCGCGUGAGUGAUGAAGGUCUUCGGAUCGUAAAACUCUGUUAUUAGGGAAGAACAUAUGUGUAAGUAACUGUGCACAUCUUGACGGUACCUAAUCAGAAAGCCACGGCUAACUACGU
This 496-nucleotide ribosomal RNA is filed under the name uncultured bacterium. Its description in RNAcentral is "partial 16S ribosomal RNA". It matches the Rfam family "Bacterial small subunit ribosomal RNA", at positions 28 to 506 of the family's 1533-position model. The record is from RNAcentral.